AAGCCGAUGACGACUAAAUUGAAUUGGAAUUACCGUCUGAACAAAUUUACCUUUGAUGUGAAUUUCUGGCUGACUCCGAGGCUUCCU
Molecule: small nucleolar RNA, 87 nt
Organism: Gastrolobium bilobum
Lineage: Eukaryota; Viridiplantae; Streptophyta; Magnoliopsida; Fabales; Fabaceae
Source: RefSeq, a predicted model, not a curated record